Molecule: unclassified non-coding RNA, 223 nt
Filed under: Paraglomus occultum
Lineage: Eukaryota; Fungi; Glomeromycota; Glomeromycetes; Paraglomerales; Paraglomeraceae
Description: partial contains 5.8S ribosomal RNA and internal transcribed spacer 2
Rfam family: 5.8S ribosomal RNA (bases 1-65)
Source: RNAcentral
GUGAAUCAUCAAAUCUUUGAACGCAAAUUGCGCCUUUUUCGGAAGGCAUGUCUGUUUGAGGGCCCCAUUUAACAAAUAAUGUGCAUUUCGUGUGCACACGUUGAUGAGCUUUCCAAAAUUAUGUAUUAUUAUUUUUGUUGGCGCAUAAUAAACAGCGCGAUGCUUUUUUUUAGUCGGAGGGAAGUAAAAUUUUUUCUUGCUUGGUUGGUGAAAAGGGUGAUCG